RNAcentral lists this ribosomal RNA (377 nucleotides) under uncultured bacterium. RNAcentral's name for it is "bacterial SSU rRNA". It matches the Rfam family "Bacterial small subunit ribosomal RNA", at positions 331 to 725 of the family's 1533-position model. The record is from RNAcentral.
CCAGACUCCUACGGGAGGCAGCAGUGGGGAAUAUUGCACAAUGGGGGAAAGCCUGAUGCAGCGACGCCGCGUGAGCGAAGAAGUAUUUCGGUAUGUAAAGCUCUAUCAGCAGGGAAGAAAAUGACGGUACCUGACUAAGAAGCCCCGGCUAACUACGUGCCAGCAGCCGCGGUAAUACGUAGGGGGCAAGCGUUAUCCGGAUUUACUGGGUGUAAAGGGAGCGUAGACGGCGAUGCAAGCCAGAUGUGAAAGCCCGGGGCUCAACCCCGGGACUGCUUUUGGAACUGUUUGGCUGGAGUGCAGGAGGGGAAGGCGGAAUUCCUGGUGUAGCGGUGAAAUGCGUAGAUAUCAGGAGGAACACCGGGGGCGAGGGGGGC